GCCCCGGGUCUGUGCUGUGGUUCCAACUGUAACGGGGUGCGAAGGAACGGGAUUUCCUUUCCCUGUCCAUCCCCUCCGCCUGCACUUAGCAUCUUCAUCCCCCAUAUUCCCCAUCAGAGACCGACCUGGAGCGGGGGCCGGCAGCGGGGAGGAAGGCUGAGGCUUGUCUCCGUUUUCUAAGCAAAAAGGUCACUCCUGCCCACCUCCGAAAAAAAUAAAGGUGUUUUUUUUUUUUUUUUAAUUCAUGCAGGUCGGCAUGGGUCACAGCCUGCCAAGCUUCCCUCUGCGGUUCUGUGGCCUUUGGCACAUGCACCAAAGGUGCACCAGGACAGAUAGCACGAAAAUAGGACAGGAAGAUGGAAAUUGCACGAAAGAACAUCGCUUGCAAAUUCACCCCCAGCAGCAGGUCUGGUUUAGCUUUCAACUCACCCCCGAAUUCUGCAGCGCCAGAAGUGCCCACGUAGCGGCACAUCACGUGCGCACCAACCUUGGCACUCAGCACCUGAAGUGUGUCCAGGCACCUGCCUGCCUGCCUGCCCGGCACAGCUGAUCAGGACCGGGCUUCCAGGCGAGGAGCCAGGUGCCCCAAACCAGCCCUGCGCUGUGAGGCAACCAGAGAUGCAGGCACCCCUCCCUCAGGUCACCCAAGCAGGUGAGGGCACCCUGGGCGGGACACGGGCUGCUCCUGUGCUGUCAGCUGCUUCUGGUACGAUGCAAGGAGUUGCCACCCUUGAUCUCCAGUGGGGACUGACAAGGUGCAUCUUCACAGAAGAUUCUUGCUGGAUUUCACUUCUGAUUGCAGUUGUAUCAAAAAUACAGAAAUGCAGAAGAACAUCAUUGAACUGUGUAAGAAAGGGCUGAAAGAAAACAUGAGACAUCAACCCCCCAGGAAGGACAAGAGCAACUUUAUCAACAGGGAGAAAGAAAGACCUAAACUUCAAUAUACAAAAAGUGGAUAAAUGAAGGAAAAUCAAAUUUGAGGGAGAAAAGAUAUCAGCCAACUGUUACUGGCUCUUAGGGAGAAGAACAUGUGAUUUGACAGAUACGUUUCCCUGACGAGAAGAGUCAAGCUGUUUAGAGAAUGAAGUGCAGCACAUUAGGAAACACCAUUGAAGAUGCCACUUUACUACCAUCACCUUCAGAAGCGUGUCUUCCACUGACUUUGCUGAUAGCAAGUGGGCUGUUGCUACAGAAUACAAUAUUUUCCUCUGAAACCAAGAUCUGUGCUGACUUCAAUGGAAAAUUUCCUGCUAAUGGAGCAUAGGAUUAAAUGAUCCCUUCUAUAUCAUAUCUUGCCACUGGCAUAACUACAACGUGUAUGACUCUGGUUUUUUGCACCUCACAAGCUGGAAGAAAGCAACUCACUAACAGAAAUUUCAUGCCACUUGAAGACAGAUCCAUGUGUCUUCUUUUGUGUGGAAUGAUAAUAUUAACAGAGAAGGAUGCUUGAUUUCCUGUUUCUGACACUUCACCAGCUCCAGGAGGGAUUUUUUUUUAUUGAUGGUGAAGGUGCUAGAUUUCUAAAAAUCCCCUCUUCUUAAUUUUUCUACCAUCCUCUGAGUGCCUAGCUUGCAAGUGGCAUGCCAGAGCAGCAUACUUCCAGCCUAAAGGAUUAAAAGGGGAAGUGUAUUUUUGUGCUCAGCCUGAAUUUUGAGCAUAACCUGUUGUGGUGUUGAUGUGAGGGUCCCCGGGACAAGGCUUCUCAGCUUCUCAAGAGGCAAAGGGAUUUUUCAUAAAAUAUCAUGGUGACACAUAACCUAGAGGAAUAUGUUUGGGACUGCAGAUGCAUCUUCUGGGAUGUCCACUUGGCUGUACCUCCUGGUGCCUGAGUAUGUACCCUGAAUAUACUGACUAUUGGGGGACAGGUAAGCUGCAGGAUGAAGUGCUACCCUCAAAACCCUUGCUCAUAAAAGUGUAGUCUGCAAAAUCCUUUAGUAGCUCAUAAAACACAGCUAAAUUUCUGGGCUUACUUUCAUUAGCAUGUUCAGUGAAAACAAAAUUGAAUGGUUAUGCCCAGUGGCUGCUUUGUCUUUUAUUCAAAAUAUGACACACCAGUCGAUGAGAUAAGGAAGGAAACAGAGCUACCAUUUCUGGGAAAAAUCUAAACAAAUCCUAAUUGGCAAAUAACUUUCACCCAAUGCCAUGCUGUGAACCAGAAAGAAACACAACAGAAGGGAAAGAAACGAUAUACAGUCACAGAAUCAUCAGUGCUGGAAGACACCUUUAGGAUCAUCAGGCCUAACUAUCAAGCUGGCCCUACCACUGCAGCCCCUAAACCUCUAAACCACCCCCAGCACCAGCCCCAGGCACCUCUUAAACACCUCCAGGGAUGGUGACUGCACCACGUGCCUGGGCAGCCCAUUGCCUGUCUCAGCCCAAUGCCAUUUCCCCUGCUCCUCUCACUGCAGGCUCAGCAGAACAGACACAUUUUCUCAUCCUAUCGUGAGCCUUGUUGCGCUUUGCUGGACACGCUCAAUGUCCUCUUUCACAGUGAGAAGCCCAGAACUGAAUGCUGUAUUUCAGGUGUGGCUUCACCAGUGGUAGAACAGGGAGAUGAUCCCUUUCUUAGUCCUGCUGGCUACACUCUUGGUAAAAAUGUGAGUUUUUAUCAGCAACAAUUAUUUGCUAUAAUCUUGAAAAUAAAGGCGCUAGAAGGAGAAUCCCGUUAUGAAAGAGUGAACAGUGUAAGACAGUUUGAAUUUUUAAGUCACUGUCAACAAUUUCACCAAAACAAGAAAAAUAUCGCUGCCUCAAGGCCUGAGCAGAAUCUUUAGGAGUCCAGAGAGCUGACACACGUGUCUGAGAUUGGGUCCAUGAUGGCAAGGUGCCUGACUCCUGGUCCUCUGACCAGAACUUUUCAUUGUCCAGGGGAGUGUUAGCUAUCGUGGGCUAUUCUGGAAUGGAUUUUUUAUAGUUGUUUUUAUACUAAAAGGACAAGUCUUUCUAAUUUCCCAAGGAAUUACUGAAUGUCUUUUAAAAACUUUUCCACUUGCAGCUCUUGCCACUUAGAGCCACUAGGAAUCAUCAAAGGCUUUUGCCAGAAUGGGGAAGGAAUACAGCAACAGGGUUUGAGGUACACAUAGUUGCAAAAGCAAGGCCCUUGAAGUCAAAGAAAUGAAAAAAAAAAACCACCAUGGAUAAUGCUGUCAUUCUAUAAUCCCUCCCAGAUAUAAAGGUUUGCCCUCAGCUGUUUGAGUCAGUAAACAGGCUCUCAGCAUCAAGCCACUGAAAACAAAGCCUAGUGCAGUGAUGUGCUUAAAAGCAGCUUGUGCAUUGCACUUGAUCAGCACAUUUUUCCUCUUUAUCACUUGCAGAAAGCCUGACUGCUGUCUCUUGAGAGGCAAAUCAUUUAGACUGUGUCUAGGAGAGCUGUGAUCUAAGAUAAAUAGCUAUCAUCAGAGUGAUAGAGUGGCACAUACGAGUCAUGGAGCCUCAUGAUGGCAGUCUGAUUGCUAGUUUGGAAUCUUGUUUUAUCUGUGCUAGCAUAAGAACAAAUUUCUAUAAAUAUGUGGUAGAAAGGGUGCAAUUUGUUCUUCAUAUAAUACUUGUUUUAUGCUCUAGUGGAGCCAACUGAGUCACUGAGGUAUCAGCACACUGUGCUGAUACCACAGUGCUUUUUUAAAGAAAUAUUCUCACAGAAUCUUAAAUUGUGUAUGUCACUAAUUAUGUUAUCAUCAAAAUUUGUAAGCGAGUAUUAGCACCCUGCUUUUUGCAAACUGCAGCUUAAACCCAAGUGCCAAUAUAAGGUGGUCUCAAAAAACCAGGCUGCAGAGGAUUGAAGCUGGACUUUGCAAAACAGUGGGAAGAUUUUCCCUGGGUUCUCCUGCAUCUCAGUUGCUUCUUGCUUAAAUGUGAAGGGUACAAUCUUCCUCUCCCACAGGAACAAUGUGAUGGUGAAUUCAUUCAGUUUCUUGAAGCACCUAUAUCAUGGAACACAGAAAGAGUCAUGGAAAACAGAUACACCACACAAGCUGGGCUGAAAUAAUGACCAGUGAACAAGGCAAGAGACUUUCCUCAGAACAGCAUGCUGACAAAGGAAAUAGCUGCUCAGGAAAUUAUUCCUUCCCACCUGGGCACAGAGUGAUAUACCACAACCAGUGGGAAAAACCCCAAUCUUUUUAAGAUUUACAUCACACUAAAGAUUCCCAAAUGGUGUAAUACAGCAUCUAGCAGCUGCAAAAUGUCUUACCCCCCCCAUAUAUCUUAACUUUUGAGACAGUAAUUUUGUAAUUUUCCCAAAGUACCAUUAACAAUUUGAUUAAUGUUACUAAACACCUCUGUUCACACAGCCUUGAAAGAGUAAAAGCUGGAGUCUUCUACAAAGAUCACCCUGACUAAAAUGAACUUCUCAGCUGUGCUUACCCUGCAAGUCCAAAACUGUGCAUUUUCCCCUGUUGGAAGGAUGCUCACAGCUUUGCACUGGAAAAGCUGAGCACUAUGUGUUGCUCUAUCAGUACUAAUAUAAGGUUAUGAAUACUUGGGCUGCUUCUAUAGGAAAAUUUGAUAAACACAUUGAAAAUUUAUUUAGCCAGCUCCCAACCUUUAUCAUGUGCUUUCCCACAGUGAGUAACUAAGGGUCCCUUUUUUGUUUUGUAGCAAGGACCAAUGGGAAUUACAUUUCACAAAGGAUAAAAGAACCUAAACUGUUGGUGUCACUGCAACAGGAGAUGUGUGUUAUAUACAGCUCUGUCCUGGUAAUUGUGACAUUAGAGAUCCCAAACACCUUUGUCACAUUUUCAUUGGCAAAGGACUCAAAAACACACCAUCUCCUUAUUGCUUUUGCUGACUAAUAGUGUACAAAGAAGUAUCCUGCUUUGAUAUUCUUACAAAUGGCUCUAUUGAACAGCAGGGAGGGAAACAUUCCCAUGGAGAACUUAGCAUAAUGCUCAGUGCUGCCUGUGCUGCGCUCCCAACAAGUCCCAACAAGCUGCAGAGAGAAUAAGGCACUUUGUGGUGCCACAGAUGCCAGUGUUCAAAGUACAAACAUAAAAUGAGCUUUGUCUACAGGGAGAUGCAGGCAACUUCCUAAGUCUGUGUGGAAUCUGCAGAUAUUGUUUUCCUUUAGCUAGAAAGGCCUUAGCUGGUUUUCAAAGAAGAGUGAAUAUAUAAGCUGACGCCCCUUCUUCAUGUCUUCUGUAUCAAGUCCCUUGGCAAAGAGACAGCCCAAACCCAAAUGUCCUCCUCACAGCACUCAUGUCCCAGGAGUACCUCAUGGCCUGUGAGAUAUGCUACUGUGAGGUUCUCUAAAGCUCUUUUGCUAAAGUUUAUUUAAAACUUCACUGGAUAAAAUGAAGAAUCAGAGGUAGAGUAAUGCAGAAGGCUGCACACUGCACCUGUAGGAGGCAUGCCUUCUUUUCUGAAGACAAGGAACUUUAAUAAUUUCAUAUGAGGUAAAAACCACACCAACAUUUAAAAUAUGGCAAUGAGAGGGUUACUAUGGAAAGACAGCGUCCUGCAUACUGAUGAGAGUUUUGCAAUGCAGGUUUUAAAUGUUGGUUCAGUUUCCUUUGGUCUUCUUUAGACUCACUCAUAUAUAAAGUUAGAGAAGGAACUAAUGGCCAGUGGGGUUUUUUUUGUGUUUUUUUAGGUUUUCAGCAUAUGACAAAUGCUCUGUUUCUGGUAGAAAGCAUUUUUUUUCUUCUCCUUUUUGUUUGGCCCAUACUUUGUUUUCUUUCCUGGCAUAGGCUGAAAGGACAGAACAGCUCUUCUACUUCAGUUGCUGGAUCUGUGUCUGAUUUCAUUAAACAUCUGCAGAUUUACCAUGCCCCAGCUUCUCCAUGUAAACACUGUCUUGAGAUAUCAUUAGCUGAAAAGUGUGAAGAAAAGAAUGAGGAUACAGGAAGUGUGGAGAGCUGGCAGGGUUGUAUUUCUGGAAAUUUUAUUUUAAAUCAUUAUUAAAAAAACUUGUCAGUUUGUACAACGUAUUGGUUGCCCAAAGGCAUAUUCAGGAAGAGGGAGAUUUUAUUUAUAUGCAAUAUAAACUGUGAGGCCAGGGAGAGAGGCAUCAUAGUGUAUUCUUAACAAUGACAAAGAAGGGGUGGAGAAAGUCAGCACUGCUGAUAUGACACAUAGAGUAUUAAGUUAUAUUGUUUGCACUGGCCUAGGUAUACUUUCUUCUCUCUGCUGUAACUGAAAUAAUUCUUCAAAAUUCACCAGUAUUCCUAUUGGAAGCAGGUGGAAUUUAUAACACUGGAAAAAUUAAUUCUGGAAGAAAGAACUCUGAGUCUUUGGUGUGAAGCCAGUUACAGUUUGGAAAGCAGAGGCUGAAUUAUGGAGGAAGUGGUUUUUCUGCUGGUUUUGGCUAGUUUUUGGGGCUUUUUUUUGUUUGUUUUUAUUUGUUUUUAUUUGUUUGUUUGUUUUUGUUUGUUUGUUUGUUUUUAAUUUAAUCUCCAAUGCAUAGAGCUGGAUCAGAGCAGCUACCUCUCAAAAAUCUUCCUUGAAAGAUGAACAGGACUGUAUAUACUCCUUUGGAUGUUGACAUCAGCUACCCCUGCUAAGUUUCUACUUUGCAACCUCAUCAUGAAAUUUCACACUGGGUUAAAUUCUGGCAUGAUUCAGAAGAAGAUGAGCCAGGAAUUAAUGAAGAGGAAGAUUCAACAGCAUGAUAACCAGAAGUUAAUGCUACUACUGCUUGAAAAACUGGGGUAGGGGAAAAAGAAGAAAGGGAAAUGUUAUGAGCAGAAGAUAUUUGCUAUUCUUCAUUUCUUUAUAAUCUAUUCCUUUUAACUUCAGUUCUCCAAAGAGAUAUUUUUAUCAGUCCUUAUUGUUAGCAACAUCAGUUGUUUCUGUGAUUUUCUUACAGUCUAGUUAUGAAAAAAAUUGUGAAGUUUUUGAAUAUCAACUGCUACCUAGAGCCAAAUUUUGCUUAUAAAGCCAGAUAGAUGAAAAUGCCAGAUUCAAAGGCUGAAUACAGAAGAAUUUGUUUAAUUGUAAGUUGAGCUCAUCCAAAACAAAUGUUAGUAGAGCAGAUCUUAUGUUUCCUCAAACAACAUAGGCAUUCUCCUCUGUUAAGCUGUCUUGCUACAUCUCUUCUACCACUGCAUAGUUAAAAAAAAAAAAAUCUUAUUAAAAAAUCCAGCAAUUAUUUCCUUGGGAAUAUGCAUUCAUUACAGUGAUUGCAUAGUACUCUGACUGUGUGUCCUUUUGCUCUUUACUUGCUCUCCAAGGAGCUGGGAUUAGUGUUAACAUGACAUCCCAGCUAGCUCAGCAGCUAGUCCUUUAUUACAGGUUCUGCCCUGCAUCUGAGAUGAGACUGCAUGUCUUAUUAAGCACUGGCCUUGUGACGCAUGCUAGUAAAGUCAUAAUUUUUCUAUUUAUAAAAGAAAGAACAAAUUAUCUUGUCCUGGAGUUCUCUCAUAACAAGAUUUUGCUGUACAAAAUCUAACUAGUUUUCUCCCUCCAUCACUCUUCUUAAGUCUCACCUAAAAGGCCACUAAAGUGAUUUGUUAAAGGCUUGUUAACAGAUGUUCCCUUCCUGUGACUUUCCCCUCGUGGCUGUUGUGUGAAAUAACUUUCUGUAAGAGAAAAGGAAAUUAAUCAUGAUUAUUUUUCAAUGCAUCUCACUCAUCAUAGGAGCCAUCAGUGUUUAUCAUGUAGGCCCUACAAUCACCAGUGAUGACAAAUGCAAACUAAGCCAUCACCUAAUUUUGAGGCUCAUUUAUCUCUUUAUCUCUAGGAAAAAUUACCUGUCUGGAAAUAGAGGGAUUUUUCAUUUUAUACAUAAGACAGGCAAUUGUAGCUGAAGUACAACAGAGCCUUGGGAAGCAUAUAAACAUGGCUUAUUUGCUCCUCCUCAAGAUGUUCUAGCACUUAUAUACAUAAGUAAUACAAGGUAACAAGUGAACAUUUCUGCAUACCCAGUGCUGAAGCAAAAGUGUGUGCAGAACUGGUGGUUCUCAUCAGGAUCCUAAAUACUCAGUCUCUGCCUGUUCAGGUUGUAACAAACUGCUCUGUGAAUGGUUGGGCUGUGUGACCUCUGUACCAUGGCUGGGUGCUUUUUUCCCCCAACAGAUUGUCUGUGUUAUCUUCAACAUUCUUAAGAGUGUUUUCUGAUUAGAGAUCUAACAUUGCCAGCUGUAUCUUCCUGAUAACCUCAACAUGCUCUGCGGUCACUGAACAGGUCACAUGCACGUUUUACGUGUCCAAAGCUUACUAAUAAAAUUCAUGUCUGUACUGCUUUUGGCAGCACCUUUUAUUAAUACAUAUUCAUAUAUAUUACAUACAUACAAAAAUAUAUUUUUAUUAAAAAUAUGGUAGUAGUGAUCUCUUCAGGUUAUAGUUCAGAGGUAGCCAUAAGUAGAUAGUGUGACCACAAAGGUAGGGGCUUUUUAAGACAUUCCUUGAGGAGAUGUACGAGAGAAGGAGUGAGCAGCAGUCUCCUACUCUGCCCCUCCACUGCCUGCUCUCUGAGAAAUGGUGUUCUGGAAAGGAAACUGAAGCCACCCCUCCUGCCAGUGGCUUGCCAUGUCCCACCACCAUGUCAAAAGUCACCAUCUGCAUCUUCACCUCUAGCUCAGACACAUAACAUGGCACCACAAAUGCCAGCCUCUACAGUGACCAGAGGCCCCUUCCUUCCUCCCCUGAGGCCCAGGAGCUGUGCAUUCAUUUAAAAGGGAGAUCAGUGAGUGGUUUGUGUGCAGGUGGCUCUCGUGUGAGAGUUACUUUGCUUGGGACAGGGUGUUGUGCCAUAGCCAGCUGUCAUCCCAUUGCUACAGCAGAGAUCUGGAGUGCUGGUGGGUCAGCUCCUGAACAGCUGCAAUUUGCAGCAUGGAUUUUUUCUGCUUUAUAACAAAGAUCUGUCGCAGUUUUCAGGUUUGGAAAGGACAAGAUGGGUUCAAUGCACCAACUGUAUCCAACUUCAAGCUGUGUGAUGAGAGAAAAGACACAAGCAGCUCACUAAUCCUUCUCUCAGGCUUCUGCAUCCGUUAUGUUCCUUCCAGUCAGAUGGAAACAAGAUGAAAUUUUGGAAGACUCAAGUGGUAUUGAAAAGAGAAGCGGUGCAGGAGCACUGCCCAGAGGAAAAAAGAUGGAAGCACACCUAAAACAGGGAGAUGAAGAAAAGGAACUUUGCUUAGCUUUCUUUCUCCUGUCUGAGAGGCCUCAAGAACCUUCCUCAAGAUUCACAUCUAUUGGACAAGCUAUUCUUAACAGGAAAAUUGAAGGACCUGCUCCAGGAAUUAGGUAUACGUUCCAGCUUCCUGGCAAUAAAUAAUAGAAAAGGAUCUGAGUGAAGGUACCACUCAACACAUAGGGUGUUUUCUUCCUUAAAGCCAGGAAGCCCAGUCUAUAUUUUCUGCUGCACUGCAGUCAUGGUGUAACCACAGUCACUAAAAAAUUACCACACAGCCACUGGCUCUGUUCCCACCCCCAGUGGGAUGGGGAGAAGAAUCAGAAAAAGAUUAAACCCAUCAGUUUAAACAAGAACAGUUGAAUAAUUUCAUUAGAAUAUAAUUAAUAAUAAUAAUCAUCACCGUUAUUGUAAUGGAGAGAAAAGGAGAGAGAGAGAGGGAAAAAUAAAAACAAAGAAAGACAAAUGAUGCACAAUACAAUUGUCAGCACUUUCUGACUGAUGCCCAGCCCAUCCCCAAGAAGUGAUCAGCCCUCUUGACCAACUCCCCCAGUUUAUAUAUUGAUAUUCUGUGGUAUGGAAUGUCCCUUUGGCCAGUUUGGAUCAGUUGUCCUUGUCAUGCUCCCUCUUUGCUGUUCUGUACCUGCACACUGGCAGAGAGGAUGGGAGCCUGAAAAGUCCUUCACUUAGUCUAAGCACUACUGAGCAACAAAAAUCCAAAACACAGCACUGUAAUUUAAAUUAAUUUUGUCCCAGCCAAACCCAGGAUGUCCACUAUUGUGAUUUGAAGUAUCGUUACUCCUUCAGAAACAUUGGGAGGCUGUCUUUUAAUUUCACUUGGCAGAUCACAAACUUUAUUAUAAAAUUUGUCUAUUAAAAUUGAUGAUUUCUUUAUUUUUUUAGUAAGUGUUUAUUGAUUAUAAUUUCUAAUUUUCUCCUGUUCAUUCAACUCUGUCACAGCUGUGUUUUUUGGUCAAUAUCCACUUUCUAGUAGCUAAUCAACUUCUACUUGCAAAGUUCAGAUUUUAUUGAUUGGCUUUUUAAUGGCUGUUUUCAAGGAAAAAAAAGACUGUAAACAUUUCAACAAAUAUUUUUAAUACAAAACUAAACACUCCAAAACUAAAUCCAAAUAAACCUCAGCAAUCCUGAUCACCAUGUAAUUGUUUGGUGGGCAUUAUUCUUAUUUUCAUCUGAACUCUGCCCCCCUGCCCCUUGUGCUUUUGCCCAGCCUAGAAGCCUCUUGAGGUUGUGCAGCUCUACAGUUCAGGUAUGGAUGGGAGGGCUGCAGUACCACUGCAAAGACAACACUCAUCAGUGCAGUAGUUCUGUAAUACAGCUAUAGAGAAAAUAAGAAUAUUAGCAGAUCUCUCACAACUCUCUCAGUAUUGCGGGGUUAUGCAUUAGAGCAGUGUUAUCUGCAGGGGUUCUAUUUGAAAAAACUGAAGUCCGAAGAAAAAACACAGAAAAUCAGAUUUUAAAAGAAGCAGCUUUUAGAAGAUGUAUUUCCCUAAACAAACCCCAAGAUAAGAUGCCCUGUAUUUGAAAAUAAAUAGGAAUAGAAAAUAACCUACCAGAAGUAGACCCAUUUUUGGUAAAAAAACCUCCUCUAGGUCAUCUUGUAAAGUCAGAUCAGGUUUACUUCAAUAAGAGAUAAAAAGUCAUUUUCAAGGUCAAUAGCAUCUUGUUUAAUAGAACCCUUGAUUGAUGCCUACUGGUAGCUGGCAAUAUGAUGUGAGAUGAAGGAAUUCAUAGUACCCAUGGGAAAUUUUAAAACAGUGUCAGCUUUCUCAGAAAUGACAUAGUAUGCUUGUAGAAAAGUUAGAGGAGCAAAAAAAUCAAUAACCACUACUGACCCCUGCAGCCAAACCAAGCCCAUCAGAGGAUCUUUGAAAAAAACCAAUCACCAACCAGCCAAAGAAUCUUCUGGCUCUGCCUGUUCAUUAAUCUUAAUAAACCAACCUGUCUGGAUCCUUUGAAAAUCCUAGAUACCUCAUGCCUGUGACAUUACUCACAUGAGUAGGAAAAAAUCUCCUGUGUCCAGGAUCUUUAUGGAGUACUUAAAUGAGUAAGAACACAUGUUAUUUUAUAAACAAACAAUCUCAGAGUGGGGUAGAUAUAAACAAGGUGGGUGAAAGGAGAGUUAUGACAAACAGGAGAUGGGUAUGAAUCACUGAAAGUCAUGUGAUGGAAACGCAAGUCACAUAAGAAAGAAUUUGAAGCUUCCAGAAGAAGAAAGCAGAGAAUGCUUAUGACUAUUUGCAGAUUUCAAAGUAAUUCAUCAACAUUUCCCUCUCCUCUUCUGUUUUUGAAGCAAUCAGUCCUUGCCAAGAACAAGUGGAGUGGCCCUUUCGUUAAAAAGUCAUGAAGGAAGCUGAGAUCAGCUGUGGUUUGCUGAAACAGUUGCUAGUUUUCACCCCUGAGAUGAGCAAAGCCUUAGGGAAAAAAAGCAAGUUCUUGAUUAUAAAAUACAUUAUUUUCACAGUACAGGGACUUAAUUCAUAUCAACUGCUCUGCUCAAGGGCUGGAUGUUAGAUCUAGAUUCUAUACAGCUUUGUGUGGAGCCUAGAAUAGUGGUGACAUGCUGUUUGCAUAAUUAAAAAACCUCUGCUAUUUUUUUGUCCUAAAAUUUCAGCUCUUGAAAUAAUGCGAUUAAGAACAGACCUUUUUGUUUUCUCAACAAAACAACUCUUCACUGUUACGGUUUCAGAGAAAUAGUUAAAAACAGGAACCAUGAAUGUUAAGUACAGAAUCUGGUAAGACAAAGUACAUGAUUUUAAUAAACUACUGUAGUUUUUUAAAUAAUCUAAUAUAAUUUGAUGAUCAGUAUGAGGUUUGUCCAGAGCAGCUUGCUCUGGCUGACCUUGCUUCAGCUGGGGUGUUGACUAGCUGAUUUCAAGAGAGGCCGUCUGACUUCAAUGAUUCCGUGAUUCUGUGUUUGCAAUGUCAGAGUCUUCAUUAUAAUUGUAGAAGGGUUCAUCUUUUAAAUAGCAAAAAAUUCCUAUUGUUUUCUGUUGCUAUGUGCCAGUCAUUUCCCAAAUGUUUCUCCCUGUAGUAGUGUGUGAAUGGAAUACCCUCACAUACAAACACAAAAACAGACAGUCCUUGCUCUUAUCUACUCUGUAUGAAUAAUGACUUAGGUAUGAUAAAAAGUAGAAUUGGAAUUUAUUUUAAGUACCUGUGUCAGAAUGAUAAUUUGAGCCAAUAUGAAGAUGACAUUUCAUUAAUUAAGUCAGGGACAAGUUGAAAAGUAUGCAGGUGCCCAUCUCGUAAUUCUCUCAAAAGAAUGUACUUCUGAUGUGUCACAUCUCCACCCAGGAGGUAGGGAAAUCUGAGAAAUAAGCCUUCAUAUGCAGUCCCCCACUUCCCACUGUGACCAAGCCAGUGUGUGGAUGUGUGAGCGCUGUGGUAUUUCAGAAGACUCUUAGGAUGCUGGCACCAUUCCUAAGCAGCCAUGUGUGAACAUGCCUUGAGUACAUCACCUACAGAGCCUGAGCAUUGUAAACCUGAAACACAGUAAGAGAUCAGUAGAAUCAAUUGGACUUUCAUUCUGUGGAAAAGAAAAAUCAUAGAGUAUUACUUGCAUUGAGACAAGCAAUCACACUUUGCCAUUUGUUUCAAAAGAUAUCUUUCAUGGUGUCUCUUAAGUUGCUGAAGCCAGUGUCUUCCAGAGCUAUAGUGAAACUGUAAACAAUAGUCCAACAUGUAUCACUAGUUUUAGAGCAGCUCUUUCCAGCAUUUACUUUCUGGUCUGAGCACUGCAGGACUGAGAGUAGUCUACUUACCUUUUAUUAGUCAGAUUUCAUGUAUUUUACCAGGAAGACUCAAAAUAUUUUUUUUUUUUUUAAGAUAACAGCAUGGAGAAUUGUUUUGAAUGCAAACCCCUCUACGAAGGACACUUGAGACUGUAAUGUACUUUUGGAGGACAAUGGAAAGAAAUCUUAUUAAUACACUUUUUUUUUUUUAAGUUUUCCUUCAUUAGGAGCAGUUACAAUAUGUUCAAUAUACUGACUGUACAGCAAAGAAAUCCUGCAGGAGAGAGAACAAUAAAUCCAAUUACGAAAGACUUGGAGUUCAGAAUCCAUAGGUAUCAUACCGAAACUCAAGUUCCUACACAAUACUGUGAGAGAAUAGAAUACAUUAAUUGAAGUUGCUUCCACCCUCUUUUUUAUGGAAAUCCUAAGCUAUUACAAAACUAGUCCUAUUUGUAAAACAACUGAGUGUCAAGGGCACACCAAUGAAUCAUCACUCUGCCAGAACUGAUACCAAGAGAAGCUAAUCUGGAACAGAGAAUAGAUGCAGUUAAAGGAAUGAAGUAGGUAUUUAUUAAAAGCAUCAGAACCACAAACCUCAGGAAUGGAUGGCUUGCAGGGAGGGGGAAGCAGUAUUCACGAAGCUGUGAGGAUUAUUUUGCACUUGCUGAUCAUCUUUAAUGGAUGUAUUUUACCCCUUCUCUCAUUCAAAAUGAAGGAUGUUAUUUCAAAUUCUCAAGUUCAACUAAAUAACAUCACAGAAGGAAAGGUGACAAGCUGAGAAAAAAUGUCAGUCUCUAUCAGCAUUCUCACUAGCAGUUCUCCUUAUCUGAAAAGCUACCCAAACUGUAUCACACAACUGAUUGCACUAAUAAUUAGUUAUGUCCUUGCUGUGUUAGUUUAAAUGCUUAUUGAAGUUGGCCACAAAAACCUUACAUCUAAACAAAAGAGUCCUUAGCUUAUGGACUGUUUGCAAAUGAAUGUGUGUCUGGGACAUCAAGACUAACAUUUCCUUCAUGUAGUACUCUGUGUAUUGCUGUGCUUCAACAUGGAGAAUAUACAAAACUGACUUAGCUGGUACCUCAGUAGCAAGUCUGUGGCUGGAAAUGCUACUUCUCUGAGCCUUCCAAUAAAAUUUUCAUAUUCAGCAUGUGGAACAGCAUCAACUUCAUCUGGCUCUUCCAACACAAAUCCAGCAAGGUGAAUGCAAUGAUCUCUUUGAAAACCAUUGUCUAUCAAACAAUAGGUUGUUUUUCUUGACACAUUCAAUCUAUCUGUAUGGAAAGUUUUGCACAAUGACAUCUUCCUUAUUUUCCACUCAUCUAGUGGGAAUGUUAAUGCAUUAUCAUUUUACUGAAAAACAGAGCAGAUAUUCUAGCUGCAAGGAUAACCUUGUUCUCUAAACUGCUUAAACUCUUUUUGCGUGUCCUUUUGCCUUCAGAAAACAAAGCAGCAUAAAUGAACAAGGACCACAACAUUAAACAGAACGUUUGUCUCUUGUUCUGUCAUAUUAAUCAAGUGCUAACAAUGCACUCAUAGUAAAUAUUUACAAAAUGCUUUCUUUCUCUGGUAUUUUGGGAACACAUUCUAAUUGCUGAUACCAGCCAGGAAGGAUGUCACUGAUCUUCUUACCCAUCCAGGCACACUGCUGGCUCAUGUCCAGCCAGCGAUCAACACAAACACACAGCUCCUUUUCUGCUGGACAGCUUUCCAGCCACUCUGCCCCCAGCCUGUAGCUCUGCCUGUGCUUGUUGUGAUCCAGGUGAAGCACCCAGCACUCUGCCUUGUUGAACCUCACACCACGCAUCAACCCAGAUCCCUCUGCAGAGCCUUCAUACACUCCAGCCGAUUCAACACUCCAGCCCACUCCACUUGGUGCCAUCUGCAAACUGGCUGAGGGCACACUUGAUCCCCUCAUUCAGAUCCCUGGUGAAGACAUGAAACAGGACUGGCCCCAACACUGAGCUCUGGGGAGCACCACUGGUCACCAUCUGUCAGCUGGAUGGAACUCCAGCCACCGCCACUCUCUGGGCCCAGCCAUCCAGCCAGGUUUUAUGAAGUGAACAGUGCACAUGUCCAAGACAUGGACUACUAGUUUCUCCAGGAGAAUCAUGUGGGAAACGAUGAGAAAAAUUUUGCUAAAUUCCAGGCAGAAAACAUCUACAGUGUUUCCUUCAUCCACUAAACGAGUCACUCUGUCAUAGAAGGAGAUCAGGUUGGUCAAAUGGGACAUGCCUUUCCUAAACCCAUUCCGGCUGGGCCUGAUCCCUCAGUGUCCUGUGUGUGCUCAAAAUGACACUCAAAAUGAUCUGCUCCAUGCUUACAAUGACACUCAAAAUUAUCUGCUCCAGCAUCCAGGUCUGGCUGAUAGGUCUGUAGCUUCCUGAAUCCUCCUUCUGACCCUUCUUGUGUAAAUGGGGGUCACAUAAGGCCCAGUCAACAGAGACCUCCCUAGUGUGUCAGGACUGCUGGGAAAUGAUGGAAAGUUGCUCCAUGAGCUCUUUCACCAGCUCCCUAACCUGUAUCCUGCUGGUGACCACACAGACAAUGAGGAACAGCAGAUAUAUCAGGUCUUACUAUUCCAGAAUGAUUUUGAAAGUAUCACAGAGGUGACGUACAGAAAAAGAUAAAAGAUAAGAAAGUAAGUAUACUUUUUGACUUUGUUUUCUCCUUUAACUAGUUAGCAAAUUACAUCCAUUUUAUUUUCUCUAGAAUGAAUUUUCUGCACAGGAAUCAAAAUUAACUCUAAAAGAAGGUAGCUACACUUUAAUUGUAAAAACUUCUUUUUCAGGGCAGGCAGGAAGCGGGAUGAUUUCUGGGCAUCUGUGAGUCAUAGCAUGCAAACAGAAGACAGAUGGGCCUGCUUACUCAGCAGAACUUUUUUAUAAUUCAGUGUAACUAUUCUUUUAGGUUUUUCCUUAAUUACAUUUACAUGAGGUGAAAAGAAUAACAGGUCCUAGGAUGUUUGACUUGGAUUUGCCUGAUUUGCAAAACUAUAACAGACAAAUAUUUCAGAAUUCCAGAGGCCAGGAUCAGAUAAAGCCAGAGAUUUAAAUAGGCCCAUGCUUAGUACUCCGUUUCUAUGAAUCACAUUUAAAAAAUUACAUUAAAAAGAGGACUAGAAAAGCUUGGACUCAGUGCUGUUUGUACUAAAAAUCUGCUAAAACCCUGUCUGUCACUGUAGCUUUAAAUAUAUAUUUUUAGUAGUAUGUUUUACUAGCCUCAACAGUAUCAACACACCAGAAAGCCAUGCAUGCACAGAAGAGCUGGAAGCCCAGGAAUAAGGUUUAAAUGUUAUGAUUUUCCAUGAGCUGAAAGGACCUGACCAGUUCAACUGCAGUGGAAAUGGAUUGCUACUGCCUAGCCCUGCCCCAAGGCCCAAGUUUUUGGCUUGCAAAUGCUUCCAAGAACCUAGGCUAUUACUUAAUAUCCUAUUAUCUAAGAGCAGUAUUUUUGUAUUCUGCUCAAUGUGCUGCAUGCUCCUCCCAGAAACACAAAACUAGCUUAGCUCCAGUUUGAGGGAAGAAAGGCUGGAACAUGCAAUAAAAAGUCCACUGGGCAACAGAUCCCCUUCCUCUCUUUGCAAGUCCACACCUAGACACAGACAUUUUGAUUUUCUUCUAAACCCAAUACCUAAGAUAAAAAAAAAAAAAAAAACCAAACAAACAACAAAGCCAAACUACCUAUGAUUUUUUCCAUGCUAUCAGGGGGUAAUAAAUUCAUUUUGUUAUCUGGAUGAUGUCUAGGAACAAUGAAAAUAGGAAGCCUCUGGACUGCAGCUGUGCUGAUCUUCAGCUCUCUUCAGAGACCAUCUAUGGCAGCAGGGCUAGAGACUUAAAUAGUAAAGAUUCUUCACAAACCACAGGUGCUGUAGCAGUUAGAAUUUUGACAUACAUAAAUACUGCAGAAAAGAAAGAAAUAGUACCUACAACUUGGCAAACUUUCUGGGCUAGGCUUAUUUGGAGUUUGUUGAGUAUGCAGUCUUAAAUGGAUGGCCCAUGAAUUCCUGUUAUCUGUUUUUUUAGCUUCUAUGAAUAAAUAAACCACAAACCAUGAAAAGAUUAGCAGUGUUUUCUCACUGUUGAUAAGUCAGAAUCCAGUCAACCAGCGUAGUACUCCAAGUUUCUGAUUAAAAGGCUCUCAAAGACUUAACUGACAGAAAUUUAGAGUCCCUUCGUUUCACAAUGGAACAAAUCUCCUUCUGAGAGGAUGAUAAGAUAAACUGUAGUGCUUGGCAUAGUGCCAUUCAGCAGACAUUUAGUCAGUACCAGCUAGGACUCAGCAAACAGUCAGUCUUGACUGAGGUUUUGAGGUUUUGCUCUGUAUUUUAUCAAAUCCAGAGUGUGCGGAACUCCUGCGAGAAGUCAGAUCCUCCAACUUGUCAGCAGAACAAAUACUCCACAGUUGCUCUAUUGCUGAGUGAAGCUCUCUGGAGGAAGGGAAGAAAGUUCAAUCUUUGUUCAGGCAGAAAGUUUGGACCCCUCCACAGAUGCAGCUGGGGCUGUACGCUGCCCUGCACAGCUGCAUCUGGCCUAGGCAGGCAGCUGGGAUCUGCCAGUGUAGGAGCACAGAAAAUACCGAUGACUAAUACUUGCCACUCACACCCUUGCAUUACUUCCAGCUUGACUUAGACAAGACUGCCCUUUUCUGAUAUUUUGUCUUGCCAUAUUCUCAGUCACUUCCAGAGGGAAACGUAUCUGACAUUAAUUUCUGUUAUUUAGCAUUUGAUCUUUUGACAAAAGCCAGCAUUUGGUCCCCAGCAGGCAGUUUUAGGACAGCUGAACUGCUGUCUAAGCAGUCACAGAGGAGCUGGUUAUAUCACAUAAAAGCCUUUUUGUGUCAUGACUAAUUUCAGAUCCUCCCUGUUUCUUAUGCAGAUUCCAGCCUUGUUUCCUCAUGCACAGAGAAUUAAAUUCUAUGCCUGCAUCUCCUUCUGGCUUCUCCUCUGGGACACAAACUUAUUCAGACAAGCUCAGGAGGCAAUAGAAAGACAUCACCAACAGCACUGGCUACCCACCCUGCAGGACUCCUUUGCAUUUCAGUGCAUGACUGCCCAUGGCACUGUAGGGCUCCAGGAGCCAACCUUCUUCCUAUAACUGUACUCUAGCUGGACCACAAUGUCAAAAUCAGCAACUCCUCAACUCUCUGUUUUCUCCACCCAGAGAAAUAUCUAAACUUCCAUAUCAUUACACUGUUCUUUCCACCACUGCAGUACACACUGCAAGGGAAAUGAUACUAACAGCCCUCCUCUGGGAGCCAAACUCAGGAAACCAACUUCUUUUCACCAAUGAAAUGCACAAGAACAGCCAUGUAUUUCUGUGUCAUGAUCUGAAAAAAAGCUCUCUGGGCUGGGGAGGGAACCUCGUGAGCUGGCUCAUCAGUAUCAUGGAGCACAAAGAUAUAGAGUGUCAUGCGCUCCUAAACAGAUGAAGUGAUGAACCACAAGAAAGAUGCUAAAGCAGAAAAUACAGUGCAAUGCUGAAAACUAUUUUUUAAAGGAGAAUGUUAAAGUUUUCAAAGGGAAAUAAGAACUAUGGCUUCCUACACAUCUUUUCAAACACCACCCCCACUGAGGGGACAUUUGACUGUUUGGAUUCUUUUGUUCCUCAGACCAUCCAUGACUAGCAAUGUGUUCAGUUCUCUUGUGCAUGACAACAGAUAUAUUCUGGGUAUUCCCAUAUUUAAAGCACUGUAAGUUUCUCACAGCCAUGAUUUUGCAUUCAUGUUAAUAACUAUGUUUUUUUUCUAGAUCAGUGUCUUCCUGUCUUCAUGAACAGGCACCAAAUUGAGCAUCUUUCCCAACACAUACAUGACUUGAGUUUCUUUUGGUCUCUUAGUCCAUAGCCAGGCUACGCUCUGACAAAGACCAUUUUCUUUCAAACUGUGCUAGGGCUUGCAGCAUAAAUUUAAAAGCUUUAAUCACAAAAUGGUUUAGAUGGGAAGGAAUCUUAAAGAUCAUCUAGUUUUAACCUCUUGCAAUGGUCAGGGACACCUCCUGCUACAUCAGGUUCUCCUAGGCUACCCCUUGUCAUCUCACUACACUCCCUGAGGAGGAGUUCCUCCCCCUCUUUCCCAUAGCCCCUUUAAGGCCAAGGGCAACAACAGUACACUUCAUAACAUACUGGAGCAGCUGCAACACAGGACUAAAAUAGUUUAUUCCUGUCAGACUGUAGAUGGCUGAAGUUGCCAACAGCAUUUGCCACAGCAUCUUAAUGAAGGAGAUCUAAGCAAGGAAUACAGAGAUGGUUUUGUUUCAGCAGUGGAGCUCAAAAGAUUUUGCCCUGAUGCGAUGCAUCUUGUGUGCAUGUACAAAAAUCAUUAUGAAUAAAAUGCCUUCACAGAUGGCUCCUAAA
Zonotrichia albicollis (white-throated sparrow) is the source of this 19169-nucleotide non-coding RNA. The record is from RefSeq and is a predicted model, not a curated record. Lineage: Eukaryota; Metazoa; Chordata; Aves; Passeriformes; Passerellidae.